Molecule: ribosomal RNA, 1122 nt
Filed under: Triticum aestivum (bread wheat)
Lineage: Eukaryota; Viridiplantae; Streptophyta; Magnoliopsida; Poales; Poaceae
Description: partial small subunit ribosomal RNA
Source: RNAcentral
AUGUCGCGGCUCUCGAUGGCGACGCUGCUCCUGCUCUCCCUUGCGCUGGCGACGGCCCCGCGCCUCGCCGUCGUGGAGGCGGUCGUCGUGGAAGGCCUGAGGGUGGGGUUCUACAACAGGACGUGCCCGGACGCCGAGCAGGUGGUCCGCGACGUGGUGAUGAACGACUACGCCAUGGACCACACCAUCGCCCCGGGCCUCAUCCGCAUCUUCUUCCACGACUGCUUCAUCACGGGGUGCGACGCGUCCAUCCUGCUGGACGAGUCCCCGUCGGGCGACAUCCCGGAGAAGGAGUCGUCGGCGAACGGGUUCACCCUGCACGGCCUGCAGACGAUCGACGUGGCCAAGGCGAGCAUCGAGGCCAUGUGCCCGCGCACGGUGUCGUGCUCCGACAUCCUGUCGUUCGCGGCGCGCGACGCGGCGGUGGCGGCGGGGCUGCCGAGCUACGAGGUGGCCGGCGGGCGGCGCGACGGCACGCACUCCCGGAUGGACGACCUGCCGGGCAACUUCCCGGUGCCGGGGCACACGGUGCCGCGGCUGACGGAGCUGUUCGCGAGCCGGGGCCUGUCGCAGGAGGACCUGGUGACGCUCUCCGGGGCGCACUCCAUCGGGGGCGCGCACUGCUUCAUGUUCUCCAACCGCAUCUACGGCUUCUCCAAGACGGCGGACAUCGAUCCGUCGCUGGAUCCGGCGUUCGCGCAGCGGCUGCGGAAGAUGUGCCCGCGGCCCAGGCCGGACGACAACCCGCAGCAGGCGCCCAAGGUGAACUUCGACGAGCGCACCGGGGAGAAGCUGGACAACGCCUACUACCAGGAGCUGCUGGCGCGGCGGAGCCUGCUGACCUCGGACAACACGCUGGCGCUGGACCCGCAGACGAGGCCGCUGGUGGAGCAGUACGCCAAGGACGACGCGCUGUUCCAGCAGAGGUUCGGGGAGGCGAUGCAGAAGGUGAGCGCGCUGGACGUGAUCAUCAAGAAGAACAAGGGGCAGAUCAGGCGGGACUGCCGGAUGGUGAACAAGGCCAGGGGGGUACGCUGGAUGCCCAUCCACUUUCUCAAGCCCCCCAAGCACCCCAUGCUCCAGAUGAUCAACUGGUUCAUCCGUGGCUUCCAGCAGAACUAA